RNAcentral lists this ribosomal RNA (465 nucleotides) under uncultured bacterium. Its description in RNAcentral is "partial 16S ribosomal RNA". It matches the Rfam family "Bacterial small subunit ribosomal RNA", at positions 28 to 507 of the family's 1533-position model. The record is from RNAcentral.
GACGAACGCUGGCGGCGUGCUUAACACAUGCCAGUCGAACGGAAAGGCCCUGCUUGCAGGGUACUCGAGUGGCGAACGGGUGAGUAACACGUGGGUGAUCUGCCCUGCACUUCGGGAUAAGCCUGGGAAACUGGGUCUAAUACCGGAUAGGAGCCAUUUUUAGUGUGAUGGUUGGAAAGUUUUUUCGGUGUAGGAUGAGCUCGCGGCCUAUCAGCUUGUUGGUGGGGUAAUGGCCUACCAAGGCGGCGACGGGUAGCCGGCCUGAGAGGGUGGACGGCCACAUUGGGACUGAGAUACGGCCCAGACUCCGACGGGAGGCAGCAGUGGGGAAUAUUGCACAAGGGGCGCAAGCCUGAUGCAGCGACGCCGCGUGGGGGAUGACGGCCUUCGGGUUGUAAACUCCUUUCGCUAGGGACGAAGCUUUUUGUGACGGUACCUAGAGAAGAAGCACCGGCUAACUACGUG